AGUGAACGCUGGCGGUAGGCCUAACACAUGCAAGUCGAACGGCAGCACAGUAAGAGCUUGCUCUUACGGGUGGCGAGUGGCGGACGGGUGAGGAAUACAUCGGAAUCUACUUUUUCGUGGGGGAUAACGUAGGGAAACUUACGCUAAUACCGCAUACGACCUACGGGUGAAAGCAGGGGAUCUUCGGACCUUGCGCGAUUGAAUGAGCCGAUGUCGGAUUAGCUAGUUGGCGGGGUAAAGGCCCACCAAGGCGACGAUCCGUAGCUGGUCUGAGUGGAUGAUCAGCCACACUGGAACUGAGACACGGUCCAGACUCCUACGGGAGGCAGCAGUGGGGAAUAUUGGACAAUGGGCGCAAGCAUGAUCCAGCCAUACCGCGUGGGUGAAGAAGGCCUUCGGGUUGUAAAGCCCUUUUGUUGGGAAAGAAAAGCAGCAGGUUAAUACCCCGCUGUUCUGACGGUACCCAAAGAAUAAGCACCGGCUAACUUCGUG
This 492-nucleotide ribosomal RNA is filed under the name uncultured bacterium. RNAcentral's name for it is "partial 16S ribosomal RNA". It matches the Rfam family "Bacterial small subunit ribosomal RNA", at positions 29 to 507 of the family's 1533-position model. The record is from RNAcentral.